AAUAUCAGUAGUUAGUAGUGUAAGUAUAGUAUAGUAUAGUAUACAGUCUUUAUGUAAGCUUGUAAAUUUCAUAGUUGUUCACCGAUAUAGUAAUAUAUGUACGUAUUGUACUUCAAAUUGAUAUAUCUACAUUCAUAUGAUGUGAAAAUCAAUACCAUAAUUGUGAUAGGCUGAUCCAUAAAAAAAUUUUUGGAUUUUAUCUCACCGCUGGCCUUAAAUGAUAAAAACAGGUGAGCGUAAUAACCGUCAUGUUGCACCCUUGUUGUAUGGGCAUUCUAUGGGCAUUCUAUUGAUAUAUGGUUAAUAAAGAAUCCGACGGUUAAAGGGUUAAUUCAAUUAUGCUAAUUAGUCCCAUAAAUGGUGAUGACGUCAUGCCACUUUCAGAAAGAGAAGUGCAAAUACGGUCAUAGCUAGGUACUAGUAUCCUUGAUGGGGUUAUUGUAUUCUUGAGAUACACAAAAUAGCCUACCUCACUAAAGAAGCUAGCAAAACAUAAUCACUACUUACCACUCUUACCUUGUUUUAAGUCCGCCGUAUUUGUUAAUAGUUCUAGCAGCUAGCUAAGCAAAUACAUUGCCUUAUGGCGUCACAUGCAAUGAAUAACAUUAACACUACAUGAUCUACAUGAUCUACAUAAAAUGUUGGCAAUGAAUAAAAUUAAUCUUAUCAGUGCCUGACCCAGGCCUUAACUGUGCAAAUGAUGGAAGUAAAUGAGUAGGUUAUUGGAGGUUAUUGGAGGUAGAGAAACCCAACUAGCUAUGGAACAGCUAGCGUAUGAAUACACAUUAGUAGAAAAACCACCCGAACCUAGCCUCAAAGAAUUCGUCGAUAAUUAUUGGUGAAAUCGCACCACUUAGUUUUAACACUUAGUUUUAACAGGAAGUGUUUUCAAAAACGAAAGGAAGUGCAAUUCAAGAAAUUGUUCCCCAAGUUGUAGCUACACAACCCUCUUAUCUGCUAACCUUGUGUAUCUCCAGUGCUUGUGUAUCUCCAGUGUAACAAUUUCUUAGUCGCUUGCAGUAAGUUAAAAGCGAUAUAUUUUUUAUAGUUGGCUAACUUUUUUAAAAGGAGAGGAGAUAUGACUGAUAUAGUCAAGUAGUAGCUACUUAGCUAGCUGCCUUGUGUUUGUAUCAGGUACCAGGAUACAUACUGCAAGCACGGUGUACUGCACUUGGUAUUGUACAUGUGUAUACGUACGUAAGUGUAUAGAUCUAUGUGUGCGUAUCGUCAGUUCUUAAUUUUCUUCGUUUCACAGAUGUUCAGAGCCACAUUGGUAGGAGCCACGUGAAUGAAGUUCUCUUUCAUUAUGCAUGCAUUCUCUUUCAUUAUGCAGCCAAGUUAUGCAGCCAAGUUGCAUCUGCCAUUGUUUCGCCGGUGGACCAAAGCCUUUAUCCCAUCUACGCUUUACCCCAUCUACGCAGCCAAGGAAUGUGCUUGAACAUGAUGUGCAUAGCUGGCUCGAGCACUGUCUUCUGCCCUGACCCUAAGAUCAAGCUCAUUUUCAAUAAGAAGAUGCCAAGCAGACACACCUGUAGAAAGGUGUAUUAAAGAGUCUCAUCUGGCAGAAGCUGUACAAGGCCAGUCAAGAAGACUACGGCAGUCUCAAUAGUAUCUUCGCACGUAUUGGACGCUCGAAAGCUAAGAAGCCAAAGGAUGACAUGCACUCAUGUCAAGAAUCUCUGCUCAUUGUGUUCAAAGGGCACAUUGUGACAGCGGGCUGCAAGGAGACGUGGAAUAGUACACAACAUACCUGACUGAGAACAUUAUGCCACCAACAUUAUGCACACUAGGUCCUACAAGGAGGUCAACCAGGAUCUGUUGAAGAGUGUGGCACAGAAAGUGGUCAAGGAGUUCACAGUGAUCCCUGAGGCGCUGCUUGGAGAGCCUGUGGUAGACAAUAGAGAUUAUGUGUACAGGUAUGCUCGAGUAUUGUGUCAUUUCGCCUCCUUGGUACUGCAAGGAAGGAGACGGUGAGCGUGUACUUCGACUGUGGAAGAUCAUGAUGCUCCACUUCCAUUCUGAAAGGAAGACAAAGUACGCACUUGAGGCACUGAGGCUGCAGUUUCAAGUUGCUACUCUACAGCCAUACCUCUCUCAUCAGCUGACCUGGGGCCGCUUCGUCAAUACUCACGGUCCCAUGUGAUCUCCACAACGAGCACAUCAACAAGCUGUUCAAAGAUAUAAUCUCAAACAUGGGUGCGAACUUUUCGAAAGCAGCCAGUACCUGGGCAGCAAGAGCCCUCGAGACACUCUCCGUCAGUUUUGAUAAGCAGACCGGCAUCCACCCUCUAGCAACAGCCCACAGCAAAAGAUCAGACGAGAAGGACGUGAAGACUUCCCCAAGUUCCCCCUGCAUAAAUUAAACAGACAAAAGAUGACCACAUGGAGUACACAAUGAGCGAAACUGCUAUGAGAACUGGCUCCGACACUGAGGAUGCAGACAUGUACCAGUGCCUCGUAUGGACUUGACAAUAUACCAGACACAGAGAUUUUUCAUUACGAUGAGAUCUAGUCACCUGAUUUAUAAUGAGAUUGACUACUAAUCAGUAAACUGCAAUAAUUACCUCACUUAGCAAUGGAUCGACAGUUGUCGCAGCAGAACAUCUUGUCCCGAGACUUCAUGUCCCUGGCAACAACGGGAUCGAAGUAGCAUGAAUCUCCUGCACAGCUCAGUGUUCUCAAGAUAGUCCCUCACAGCCAAGUUCCUUGGGAUGGUGAGAUCAGCCCGUACAGGAGCUUCAACUGGCCUCCAGUACACUCUAGCCAACGACUGCUGAUUAUCUCGGCCGCUCUAGUCUUCCAGUGACCUAGGGGCACCAUAGUGGAUGAUGAAGUUCUUGAAGUCCACCUCCACCCCCAUACCAAUAGCCAUCGUCGCAAACACAAUCCUGACAACACCGUCAGGCUUCCCACGAGUUUCCGAACAUUCUGUUGUCACUGAUCUGUUCAGCUCCUGGAGGGUAGUAGCCAGCAUCCUUCAAAGUGUACUUGAAGUUCUCAUACAAACUCGCGCACAUGUUCAGUGACUGGCAGUAGACAACUAUACGUCGAGCCUUGACAGUGUUGUCCAACAAGUCUGCCACAACGAAUGUAAAGUCUUCCUCAAUUGUUGUCUUUCUGACCGCCUCAUAAGGCUUGUUGGGAGACUCAGACACCAUAUAGUAGCCUGCCAUGCCAAGGUUCUGAACAACAUAGUCCCUCAUCCUCUUGGUCACAGUGGCAGUCGCAGCCAGAAAUGGCGUACGAGGAGGUCGCAGGUAUCAAAUGCAGUCUUUACUCCUGUACAUUGUGCUUCGUCAAUAGCGACUGCCACUACAGAGUCACAGAGGGGACAGGAGCUGCUUCCACGUUUCUCUGCCAAGGAGUGCCUCGGGAGCACUAUAGAGGAGGGAGAACCGACCCUCGGACACGUCACUCACACUAGCAAGGAGGUCCUUCUCGACAUCUAUGAAAUGAAGGAUGACUGUAAUAAUGCACUACGUUCAGGCAUUAAUAACUUUAUAGAUUCUAUAAUUAUAGGUACUGUAUCUACAUCUUUAUUUACCUUUGUUGCCAGACAAUAAUUAUUAUAGCAGUAGAGACACCCCUCUUCCGGAGGCCUGAGACCUGGUCUAUCAUCAGAGACACUAGUGGUGACAGCACCAGCACAACACUUCUCUCAGAGCUCGAGCUUGUCCGCUUCAGUUUGAAGUCAAACAUGAAGGGCAACAGUUGGAAGCACAAAGACUUGCCAUAGCCCGUGGGGAACCAAGCAAAGACAUCAUGACCGUCGAUGAGAGCCUCCUUUUGUGGCUUCAGUGUGAGACCAACGCAACGAAGAACAUAAGCCACAGCUUCACAAAACGCAGUCUCAGUCAAUGCCAUUGUUAUUGAAACAAUAAAAGUAACACGGAACAAAAGUAUUACAAGCUAGUUUACGGUAACAUUUACUAAAAGUUUUACUGGCGUGCACAAUUACCCAGAUUCUGGGUAAUUGUUCAGCGCAUGUGCACUAACACCCAUGCAAUGAACACCAGGCCGUAUUUUAAUCGGCGUGGAUUCGAGGCUAGGCCCCCCCCAAGCCCACC
Halichondria panicea is the source of this 4067-nucleotide long non-coding RNA. RefSeq lists it as uncharacterized. The record is from RefSeq and is a predicted model, not a curated record. The transcript has 4 exons. Lineage: Eukaryota; Metazoa; Porifera; Demospongiae; Suberitida; Halichondriidae.